UUGUUUAUUUUUGCGAUAGUUAUGGAAAAGCGUGAAAAUGUAAAUGUCUUGUAACAAUUAAAUGUGUUGAUUGCAGUGCUGACUAGGCGAAGGCAGGUCGUAAAACAAGUACAAUGAUGCAGUUAAGUCAUAAUCUACAAUACGUGUACGUGGUGAUGGGUGUACGUGCGGCGGACGCUCACAAGGGUCUCGGUCGUGACAGGCUGAAUCGGAUAUUUCAAAAAGUGUAAUUUACAACCUAUUGCUUUGGAGAUGAAAAGACCGUAUCGGUGGCCGCGCCGGGAACAGGACCUAGUGGAAAAUGCGUUUAUGUACAAAAAGAAAUUAUUCGAUAUUUAAGACGUACAUUGUGUACGUGUGUGUGCAGUCGUGUUGAAUUCGGUAGCAGAUUAGGGAGAUCGUAAUUUAGCGGUUAAUUGGACACCACCAAACAGGACCGGGGCGGGGGACAUGGCGGCCAAGAGGUAACUCUACACCAGCAACACCCACCGCCGACAAAGACACCGCCGCCACGCGUGUAUAUACAUUCUUUGGGUUUAUAGCUUCUACGAAAAUUGUCGGAAACCUUCAUCAGUACGGGGAACAUGAAAUUCGCCCUAUGUCUAUCAGAACUUGAACUUAAUACAAAAAUUCUUUAUCGUUUUUAUUUGGUUUUAGCUUAUUCGACCCACAAUAGUAUUUUAUUUGAAACGAGCAAACCGCUUACAAAAAAAAAAAUAA
Molecule: long non-coding RNA, 720 nt
Organism: Daktulosphaira vitifoliae (grape phylloxera)
Lineage: Eukaryota; Metazoa; Arthropoda; Insecta; Hemiptera; Phylloxeridae
Exons: 2
Source: RefSeq, a predicted model, not a curated record